RNAcentral lists this transfer RNA (65 nucleotides) under Anaerotruncus colihominis. It matches the Rfam family "tRNA", at positions 5 to 66 of the family's 71-position model. Rfam says of the family: Transfer RNA (tRNA) molecules are approximately 80 nucleotides in length. Their secondary structure includes four short double-helical elements and three loops (D, anti-codon, and T loops). Further hydrogen bonds mediate the characteristic L-shaped molecular structure. tRNAs have two regions of fundamental functional importance: the anti-codon, which is responsible for specific mRNA codon recognition, and the 3' end, to which the tRNAs corresponding amino acid is attached (by aminoacyl-tRNA synthetases). tRNAs cope with the degeneracy of the genetic code in two manners: having more than one tRNA (with a specific anti-codon) for a particular amino acid; and 'wobble' base-pairing, i.e. permitting non-standard base-pairing at the 3rd anti-codon position. Lineage: Bacteria; Bacillati; Bacillota; Clostridia; Eubacteriales; Oscillospiraceae. RNAcentral also lists the same sequence under 11 other names. The record is from RNAcentral.
UUUGUAGCUCAGUUGGUAGAGCAGAGGACUGAAAAUCCUCGUGUCGUUGGUUCGAUUCCGACCGA